RNAcentral lists this long non-coding RNA (2515 nucleotides) under Elaeis guineensis (African oil palm). Its description in RNAcentral is "long non-coding RNA (EGUI_LNC013412)". Lineage: Eukaryota; Viridiplantae; Streptophyta; Magnoliopsida; Arecales; Arecaceae. The record is from RNAcentral.
UCAACUCGACUAGUAUUGUUGUUGAAUUCAUGCAAAAGGACAUUCUAGGCACAUGAGUGCUGACUCUAAAAUUUACGGUCAUUUGACAGGGAGCAAUCUUUUGAAAAUCUUUUAAACAUGGAAAGAGUUGAGAGAAAGAAAGAAGAUGACAAGUUUUAGAUGUUAAAGAAAUAACAAAAUAUUUUGCAUGAAUUUGGGAACACAUAUGAGCUCUUGUUUAUCAAAUAAUUAAAUUUAACGAAAUGUUUUUUGGGCACUCUGCGCAAGGAAAAAAUCGUAAUAUAUGGAAAAUUAAGAAAUCACAUAUAAUAAUAGAGAAAUUGCAAUAGAAAAAAAAAAAAAGGAAAUCCCUCCGAGGACGACUCCCAUACAGUUCUUGCGAGAGCUGGAGAAGCAUCUACGAGUAAAGCACCGUAUCCAUAUAACUGCUUGCCACCUACAUGCUGCCUAUGCUACCCUAAUUCACACAGACAUAUUGCUGAGAAAAUUGCAGUCUCUGUUGAGGUCUCUGAGUACCAAAGACUUUGCACUUGCUACACUAUUCAUGAGACAAUAUGGUAACUCUUCAGGUGACAUUAUGGCAGCGCCACCAGUUAAAUUACAAGCAUGCAUGCCUAGAUGGAUGGUGCUGGUUUUAUAAAGUAUAAACACCAUCAUUGUUGGCAGAAAUGGCGGUUGGUUCACCAAGUUGGGUUAUCAUGAAGGUGCCAUCAAAUAUUUAUUAUGAGAUUUAUCAGCUUACAGUGGGUACACAAUAAUCACAUUUCCUCCAUGACCUCCCCUAGCUCAAUGCCUCCUUUUCCUUUGUAGCUUCCUUAAACAUCAUGACCUCAAUCUUCAUGGCUGAUAGUGGUCGUAAGGUAAAGCUUUCACCAUUAUUAAUAACCCCACAAGGUUAUAAUAAUGUACUGGAUGUGGUUAUAUAACUCCUAGAACUAAAGUUCAUCUAUGUUCAACAAGAGCUGAGCUCCAACAUUGUCCUCUCCAUACCCAAGUAGCAUAACUUCUAACAUCAAACCUUAAAUAUUGGGGUCUGUGCUUAUAAAUCAUUCAUAGAACAUUCAUAUGAGGGCCAACUCUGAUGUUACUACAUGCUUCUCUUCCUCCGCUUAAACACCCUUCGACAAUGAUUUAGUGCCUCUUGUUAUACAUUACCGUUACCUCAACCAGUUCUCCAUCAUAUUGUUCUUGAUUGAUGUCUGUGUGUUUUUUUACUGUUAGCUGUCUGCCUAACCUCAACCCUCCAUCUUUUUUUCAACCCAUUCAUAGUUAAUGCCUAAAAAAAAUCUUUGCCACCCCACAUUUUUAUGGUGUCUGUCAUGUGACUUCAAAAUUGUUUUGGAGAACCCAUAUUGAUUUAGUGCAUUGACUCCAUAAAAGUGUAGUUUCUAUGGAAAAAUGGCUCUUAAUGAACUAUAAAUAUGCUCGAAUUUGCUUGGAUGGUGUAGUCUUAUCUUUUUCUGCUGAAUAUGUUUUAUUCCAGACCUUUGAAAUAUUCAUUUUCUUUCAGAACAUGUCACUAGAACCUAAUCGUUGCUCUAUAUUGUCCCAGAGUCAUAUUAUAUGGUCACAUUCUCAGCCCCAUAAUGGUUCUAUCACAGUAGUUACUCUCCCUUAUUCUUGUUCCAGAGGCAAAGUAGCAUUGGUUCCUGGUUCUGAGAAAAACCUAGUGUCGGAUUGGCAUUAUAAUGAUUGGAUCUAUUUAACUUUGCAAAAAUAAGGAUGACUAUAAUUGUAUUAUCACAUUUCUGGGACUCAUGGUGCGUUGCCAUUUAUAGGAUAUUAACUAGCAAAACAUUACUCUGUGAUUUAGUGCACCUUCAUUCAGACUAAUGAUCAAACUGCAGCACAUGGAUUAGAUUCAAUAUCUCAUCACGUGGUCAAAAACACUAGAGAUGAGUUGGUUUUCAGAACAUUAUCUAUGAUCCAAGAUACAAAAACAGAAGAGCAGUCAGUUCAGCAACCACUCCUAGAUGAACAUCAAACAGUUCACCAGAGCCUUAAGAACUUCAUAAUUCUGUAAUUUGUUUGUGAUUGUCAAUGAACUAUCUAUUUAACUUCAUAAUUUAUUUGGAUUGGCAUUAUAAUGGUUGGUUCUAUUUAACUUUGCAAAAAUAAGGAUGACUAUAAUAGCAUUAUCACAUUUCUGGGACUCAUGGUGCAUUGCCAUUUAUCGGAUAUUAACUAGCAAAACAUUACCCUGUGAUUUAGUGCACCAUCAUUCAGACUAAUGAUCAAACUGCAGAACAUGGAUUAGAAUCAAUAUCUCAUUAAAUGGUCAAAAACACUGGCGAUGAGUUGGUUUUCAGAACAUAGAUAGGAUCCAAGAUACAAAAACAGAAGAGCAGUCAGUUCAGCAACCACGCCUAGAUGAACAUCAAACGGUUCACCAGAGCCCUAAGAACUUCAUAAUUCUGUAAUUUGUUUGUGAUUGUCAGCUAACUAUCUACACCAAUCUUGAUCUCUGUCAUCUCAUUUGUUAGUGGAUAAGGUACAAAUUUUAUAGGCUGACCCU